UACUUAGUACUAUGAAUGUAAUUA
RNAcentral lists this non-coding RNA (24 nucleotides) under Cricetulus griseus (Chinese hamster). The record is from RNAcentral. Lineage: Eukaryota; Metazoa; Chordata; Mammalia; Rodentia; Cricetidae.